This 406-nucleotide ribosomal RNA is filed under the name uncultured bacterium. RNAcentral describes it as "partial 16S ribosomal RNA". It matches the Rfam family "Bacterial small subunit ribosomal RNA", at positions 30 to 526 of the family's 1533-position model. The record is from RNAcentral.
AUUGAACGCUGGCGGCAGGCCUAACACAUGCAAGUCGAGCGAGCGGCGGACGGGUGAGUAAUGUCUGGGAAACUGCCUGAUGGAGGGGGAUAACUACUGGAAACGGUAGCUAAUACCGCAUACCAUCAGAUGUGCCCAGAUGGGAUUAGCUAGUAGGUGGGGUAACGCCUCACCUAGGCGCCGAUACCUAGCUGGUCUGAUAGGAUGACCAGCCACGCUGGAACUGAGACUCGGCCCAGACUCCGACGGGAGGCAGCAGUGGGGAAUAUUGCACAAUGGGCGCAAGCUUGAGGCAGCCAUGCCGCGUGUGUGAAGAAGGCCUUAUGGUUGUAAAGCACUUUAAGCGAGGAGGCGUGACUCGCAGAAUAAGCACCGGCUAACUCCGUGCCAGCAGCCGCGGUAAUUC